This 742-nucleotide ribosomal RNA is filed under the name uncultured soil bacterium. RNAcentral's name for it is "bacterial SSU rRNA". It matches the Rfam family "Bacterial small subunit ribosomal RNA", at positions 30 to 769 of the family's 1533-position model. The record is from RNAcentral.
UGAACGCUGGCGGCAUGCCUUACACAUGCAAGUCGAACGGCAGCGCGGGGCAACCUGGCGGCGAGUGGCGAACGGGUGAGUAAUAUAUCGGAACGUACCCUGGAGUGGGGGAUAACGUAGCGAAAGUUACGCUAAUACCGCAUACGAUCUAAGGAUGAAAGUGGGGGAUCGCAAGACCUCAUGCUCCUGGAGCGGCCGAUAUCUGAUUAGCUAGUUGGUAGGGUAAAAGCCUACCAAGGCAUCGAUCAGUAGCUGGUCUGAGAGGACGACCAGCCACACUGGAACUGAGACACGGUCCAGACUCCUACGGGAGGCAGCAGUGGGGAAUUUUGGACAAUGGGCGAAAGCCUGAUCCAGCAAUGCCGCGUGAGAGAAGAAGGCCUUCGGGUUGUAAAGCUCUUUUGUCAGGGAAGAAACGGUGAGGGCUAAUAUCUCUUGCUAAUGACGGUACCUGAAGAAUAAGCACCGGCUAACUACGUGCCAGCAGCCGCGGUAAUACGUAGGGUGCAAGCGUUAAUCGGAAUUACUGGGCGUAAAGCGUGCGCAGGCGGUUUUGUAAGUCUGUCGUGAAAUCCCCGGGCUCAACCUGGGAAUGGCGAUGGAGACUGCAAGGCUAGAGUUUGGCAGAGGGGGGUAGAAUUCCACGUGUAGCAGUGAAAUGCGUAGAUAUGUGGAGGAACACCGAUGGCGAAGGCAGCCCCCUGGGUCAAGACUGACGCUCAUGCACGAAAGCGUGGGGAGC